RNAcentral lists this ribosomal RNA (460 nucleotides) under uncultured bacterium. Its description in RNAcentral is "partial 16S ribosomal RNA". It matches the Rfam family "Bacterial small subunit ribosomal RNA", at positions 338 to 795 of the family's 1533-position model. The record is from RNAcentral.
CCUACGGGGGGCAGCAGUGAGGAAUAUUGGUCAAUGGACGAGAGUCUGAACCAGCCAAGGAGCGUGAAGGAUGACUGCCCUAUGGGUGGUAAACUUCUUUUAUAAAGGAAUAAAACGAGGCACGUGUGCCUUUUUGCAUGUACCUUAUGAAUAAGGAUCGGCGAACUCCGUGCCAGCAGCCGCGGUAAUACGGAGGAUCCGAGCGUUAUCCGGAUUUAUGGGGUUUAAAGGGAGCGUAGAUGGGUGGUUCAGUCAGUUGUGAAAGUUUGCGGCUCAACCGUAAAAUUGCAAUUGAUACUGGCAGUCUUGAGUACGGUUGAGGUCGGCGGAAUUCGUGGUGUAGCGGUGAAAUGCUUAGAUAUCACGAAGAACCCCGAUUGCGAAGGCAGCUUACUAGACUGUGACUGACAUUGAUGCUCGAAAGUGUGGGUAUCAAACAGGAUUAGAUACCCUGGUAGUC